This 1025-nucleotide long non-coding RNA is filed under the name Manihot esculenta (cassava). Its description in RNAcentral is "long non-coding RNA (MESC_LNC006703)". Lineage: Eukaryota; Viridiplantae; Streptophyta; Magnoliopsida; Malpighiales; Euphorbiaceae. The record is from RNAcentral.
UUAUAACCACAUAGUAGGAUCGACUAGAUAGAUAAGGAGUUAUAACGGUAGGCACAGGGUGCCGAACGGUAGGCUCAGAGGCCAAAACUGUGAUAGCAGGGCUCUGUGGCCAUGCUUAUGAGGUACCAGAUAUGUAACCUCUAAGAUAGAUCAUGUAUCGGUAGCAGUACUGCGAACUCUGAAUAUUUAUAUGGCAUGCCAUACCCUUAAGCUAACCUCGACUCCUAUUACGUUUACCAGGGCCAAGUAUCAUUAACUCAAUGUAUCAAUGUAAAUCCAUGUCAUUUGAAGCUAUUUGAUUUCUUUUUCCAAAGUACAUAUAUCAUAUACCAAGGUUUACAAUAUGGAAAACUCAUGGCAAAUAGUGCAAAACUUUAUUGACUUAGCAUUUCAAUAUAGAAAACUACAUUCUGCCAUAUAUUGCAUAAACUUUUCAAGCAGUUUAGAGUUACAAUUUGACUUCAGUUUCUUCAUAAGAAAUGUAUAUUUAUGUCUUAUCUUUCCAACAAGGUAUGGUUCAUGCAAAUCUGAUCAUCCUAGCUUAAGUUAUGAAUUUUUAUUUACAAGCUGCUCAACAAGGUCUUAAUCAGUCCAGUAUUGGUACUUGUUAAUAGUAUCACAAAACUUAUCAGAUUCAUACAUUUCCAUACAAAUUCAAGCUUAAAUUUCUUCUACAAAAUUUUAGGUAUACUUAUUAAGAUUCAUUUGGCACUGGUCUUAACAAAUUUCACUAAGUAUGUAAUUAGUUAUGGUAUAAUCAAUAGACUCUGUUCCGGAUGCACUACCACUGUGUCCAUUUUAGGUUCACUUGCAAUUUUCAUCAUUUUAACUACAGAUUCAGAAUUUUUUCAAUUCAUGAAAGUUUUAGAUAUUUGUCUUAGAUUUCAGUUGGUAUAUCUUAGGCCUAAUUUCAAUAUAUACACAAUAAGUUAUGAAGUUAGUAACACAAGCUGUCCUGUUACAACCUAUUCUGCCAGAUUUACACUUUGAGCUCCCAUGUUAAAUUUCUUUACUCUAAGCCUUUC